This 277-nucleotide long non-coding RNA is filed under the name Fukomys damarensis (Damara mole-rat). RNAcentral describes it as "lncRNA (ENSFDAG00000025314.1)". Lineage: Eukaryota; Metazoa; Chordata; Mammalia; Rodentia; Bathyergidae. The record is from RNAcentral.
AAGGAAGACACAGAACUUGAGAAGAUCUGCCCGUCAGUCACCCUGGAAGUAAAGGCCCACGAGGACAAAGGGAAGGAGCGAGAGAUAACAGGACUAGGGAUCUGUGGUGGAUUUGCUGUCGUCCCACGCACAUUCUUCCUGCUGAGGAACCCUUGUCCUCUCUGGAACUGACUGCCAAUAGGUAGGAUUUGGCUCUGGCUGAGAAUUCAAACACACAUCUCAGCCUUCUUUCUUUCCCUGCACCAUCGGAAAAUAUCUAAGAAACACGAGAGCCACC